GUGAGAAGAAAUUCCUUUUUUCCUGCACUGAAUCUUCCACUUCUCUCCAAACCUGUGCUCUGCUCUGCUGCACUGUUCCUAGUGUGCCUUUCCGUAGGACUGGCUCCUGCCUGAGGCAAGCAGUCGUCUUUCAGCUGAAGCUUCAAGAAGAAAAAUUGCAUCAUCUUUGAAAGUGUGGGUGAAGUCAUGAGUAGCUGUGAAAGUGCCAUGCGCCUCACCUUCAGCCUUCCAGCUGCCUCUCCGCAGACAAGGAUAUACAGCACGGAACCAAGUAGCUGUGCCUGACCUCAGGCCUGUUGAUCUGUGCUUGCAACUCUACUGAAGGAGGAAGAGUAGAGGUUUGUGAGCUGCAAACUGGGGCCAAGUGUGCAACCUCUGCCUGUGAUGAGACAUCCUCAUAGUUACUGGUCUGCUUUAACAUUAAUCUUGGGCUGCUGUCCUUUGCUUAGAUGCUGUUCUGCCGUUUGCGGUGCUGUUCUGUCCUGCACAAUGGAGCUGCGUUGUCACGUCCUUAGAUCAGCCUGUUGCUGGAGGAGGAGUCUGGAGAAAUGUUCUGUGGGUGCUUCUCUGCAGCCGGCAGCCUGCGAUGGCUUGGGCUGUCCCUUCCAGACUGACGGUGCCCUGAGCUUCAGCRGAGAGCUGGCAGAAGGACCGGUGGCCAGAAGUUUAGGAUACAUCUGCAGUGCUAAGAGGAGGAGCGGCUGUGAUGUAUACCAGCGCCCUGAACUAACCAAAGUGAUGGGGRCCCUCAGUGUUCGGCGCGGCUGCCACCACGGACAGACGUGUCCCUUGGGUUCGCAAGCCAUGCCUUCGAGCGCCGUUCCCUCCUCGCGUCCUGGCAGCCCGGCCCUGCUCUGAGCUGCCGGUCGCCUUGUCGAGUUGCACAGUCGGUGCCAGUUUCCGCUACCCGAGGACCCCGUCUUUGGCCUUGCAGGGUGCCACCGGACCAGGCGUGAACUUGCUGUCCCUGUGCCACUGCUUGGAGACUCUUCUUGGCUCUUGCAGAGAAGCUCAUGCUGUUUCCGGGGGGUCUAGUUUUGUAUCUGGAAAAACUCAAAGUGUCCCAGGAACAGCUGGCAGAAGGUGAAUUGCUUCUGGUAGGCUUUGUAGUAAAAUACAACCGUGCUCAGUCUUUUCUCUGAUAAGAGUCUUCAGACCUGGACUUCCCUGGGUGUCACCGCUGGGUAGCUUUCUGCAAUUUGGGCUGUGCCAAGGAAGGCAGAAGAGAAAGGUUCCUCUGGGCAGUUUUAACAUGCAUGAUUUAUCAUCUCUUUGAAAUGAAAAGCCCAAUUAAUGGCUACAACGAAGGAAAAAUGUCAUAUAUUUCUAGCCCCUGAUCCUCUAGAGGUAAAAGCUUCUUAUC
RNAcentral lists this long non-coding RNA (1363 nucleotides) under Dromaius novaehollandiae (emu). RNAcentral describes it as "lncRNA (ENSDNVG00000012693.1)". The record is from RNAcentral. Lineage: Eukaryota; Metazoa; Chordata; Aves; Casuariiformes; Dromaiidae.